RNAcentral lists this ribosomal RNA (431 nucleotides) under uncultured bacterium. Its description in RNAcentral is "partial 16S ribosomal RNA". It matches the Rfam family "Bacterial small subunit ribosomal RNA", at positions 29 to 507 of the family's 1533-position model. The record is from RNAcentral.
AACGAACGCUGGCGGCAGGCCUAACACAUGCAAGUCGAGCGCCCCGCACGGGGAGCGGCGGACGGGUGAGUAACGCGUGGGAACGUACCCUUUGCUACGGAAUAGCCUCGGGAAACUGGGAGUAAUACCGAAUGUGUCCUUCGGGAGAAAGAUUUAUCGGCAAGGGAUCGGCCCGCGUUGGAUUAGGUAGUGGGUGGGGUGAUGGCCUGCCAAGCCGACGAUCCAUAGCUGGGGUGAGAGGAUGACAAGCCACGCUGGGACUGAGACACGGCCCAGACUGCGACGCGAGGGAGCAGAGGGGAGCCUUAGAGACGGGGCGCAAGCGUGACCUAGCCACGCGGGGGAAGCGAUGAAGGCCGUAGGGUUGUAAAGCUCUCUGAGGGGAGAAGAUAAUGACUGUACCCCCAGAAGAAGCACCGGCUAACUACGUG